This 419-nucleotide ribosomal RNA is filed under the name Trogoderma simplex. RNAcentral describes it as "partial 16S ribosomal RNA". It matches the Rfam family "Bacterial large subunit ribosomal RNA", at positions 1842 to 2522 of the family's 2925-position model. Lineage: Eukaryota; Metazoa; Arthropoda; Insecta; Coleoptera; Dermestidae. The record is from RNAcentral.
UUUAUUUAAAGUCUGGUCUGCUCACUGAUGAAUUAAAGAGCCGCAGUAUUUUGACUGUGCGAAGGUAGCAUAAUAAUUAGUUUCUUGAUUGGGAACUGGUAUGAAUGGUUGGACGAGAAAAGUUCUGUCUCUUUCUAAUUUUGUUGAAUUUUACUUUUAAGUUAAAAGGCUUAAAUUUUGUUAAAAGACGAGAAGACCCUAUAGAGUUUUAUUAUUUAAUUUUUAUUGAGUUUUGGUAAUAGAAUUCUUAAAAUGUAAAAUAAUUUGGUUGGGGUGAUCGGAAAAUUUAUUUAACUUUUCUUUUAUUUUUACAUUUAUUUAUGAUUAAUUGAUCCGUUAUUUACGAUUAUAAGAUUAAAUUACCUUAGGGAUAACAGCGUAAUUUUUCUUGAGAGUUCUUAUCGAAAGAAGAGUUUGCG